This 1969-nucleotide ribosomal RNA is filed under the name anaerobic digester metagenome. Its description in RNAcentral is "bacterial LSU rRNA". It matches the Rfam family "Bacterial large subunit ribosomal RNA", at positions 1149 to 2925 of the family's 2925-position model. The record is from RNAcentral.
UCAAGUGACUUUGCGCCGAAAAUGUCCGGGGCUAAAACGUAUCACCGAAGCUAUGGGAAUUGAUGUAAUCAUUAAUGUUUUUAUAGAUACAAUAUCAACAUUAAUGCGAUAGGACAUUUUGCACAAAAUAUCCCUGAAAAGAUAUCCCGAAGGGAUAAUUAAGAAAGAAAUUUUGUGCUAAAUGCUUUACAGCUAAGACGUAUCAAUAAAGAUAGUAAUGAUUACAUCAAUUCGGUAGGCGAGCGUUCUAUAUGGGCAGAAGCUAACUUGUAAGAGUUGGUGGACUAUAUAGAAGCGAGAAUGUUGGCAUGAGUAGCGAGAGGCAGGUGAGAAUCCUGCCCGUCGAAAACCUAAGGUUUCCUGAGGAAGGCUCGUCCGCUCAGGGUUAGUCGGGACCUAAGCCGAGGUCAAAAGGCGUAGGCGAUGGACAACAGGUUAAAAUUCCUGUACCACCUUAAGUCGUUGAGAGAUGGAGUGACACAGAAGGAUAGGCACAGCGCACCGUUGGUUGAGUGCGUCUAAGUAAGUAGGGAGCUCAAAGAGGCAAAUCCCUUUGAGCAUAUUCCGAGAUACGAAUGGGAGCGAAAAAUAAGUAGCGAACUGGCUGACUCCACACUGUCGAGAAAAACUUCUAUCGAGACUUAAAGGUGCCCGUACCGCAAACCGACACAGGUAGGUAAGGAGAGAAUCCUAAGACGAUCGGGAGAACUAUUGUUAAGGAACUAGGCAAAAUGACCCCGUAACCUCGGGAGAAGGGGAGCCGAUUUUGGUUAAAGAUUUACUCUGUAAGCUAAAAUCGGCCGCAGAGAAUAGGCCCAAGCGACUGUUUAGCAAAAACACAGGUCUCUGCUAAGUCGAAAGACGAAGUAUAGGGGCUGACGCCUGCCCGGUGCUGGAAGGUUAAGGAGAUGUGUUAGCCUAAGCGUGCAUUAAUGUAAGCAAAGGCAAAGCAUUGAACUUAAGCCCCAGUAAACGGCGGCCGUAACUAUAACGGUCCUAAGGUAGCGAAAUUCCUUGUCGGGUAAGUUCCGACCCGCACGAAAGGCGUAACGAUUUGGGCACUGUCUCAACAAUAGACCCGGUGAAAUUGUAAUACCAGUGAAGAUGCUGGUUACCCGCGACAGGACGGAAAGACCCCGUGGAGCUUUACUGCAACUUGACAUUGGAUUUCGGUGCUAUAUGUACAGCAUAGGUGGGAGACAUAGAAGCCAGGACGCUAGUUUUGGUGGAGUCGCCAUUUGGAUACCACUCUUAUAGUACUGAAGUUCUAACCACAAGCCGUAAUCCGGUUUUGGAACAUUGUCUGGUGGGCAGUUUGACUGGGGCGGUCGCCUCCCAAACAGUAACGGAGGCGCCCAAAGGUUCCCUCAGCACGGUUGGAAAUCGUGCGUAGAGCGUAAAGGCAGAAGGGAGCUUGAUUGCGAGAGCAACAUCUCGAGCAAGGACGAAAGUCGGGCUUAGUGAUCCGGUGGUUCCGAGUGGAAGGGCCAUCGCUCAACGGAUAAAAGCUACCCCGGGGAUAACAGGCUUAUCUCCCCCAAGAGUCCACAUCGACGGGGAGGUUUGGCACCUCGAUGUCGGCUCAUCACAUCCUGGGGCUGAAGUAGGUCCCAAGGGUUGGGCUGUUCGCCCAUUAAAGUGGUACGCGAGCUGGGUUCAGAACGUCGUGAGACAGUUCGGUCCCUAUCCGUCGUGGGCGCAGGAAAUUUGAGAGGAGCUGUCCUUAGUACGAGAGGACCGGGAUGGACACACCACUGGUGAACCAGUUGUUCUGCCAAGAGCAUAGCUGGGUAGCUAAGUGUGGCAGGGAUAAGUGCUGAAGGCAUCUAAGCACGAAGCCCCCCUCAAGAUAAGAUUUCCCACCUUAAAAAGGUUAAGACCCCAGAAAGACCAUCUGGUUGAUAGGCCUAAAGUGUAAGUGCAGCAAUGUACUAAGCUGAUAGGUACUAAUAGGUCGAGGGCUUGACCA